GGAUGAACCCACUAAUGGAAUGUGAUGUGUCAGAGCUAUUCAAGCGAGGAGGAAAACAUAAAAUGGGCGAGGCCCGAAAAGUUUUUCUCCGAGAAUUGCACAGCCAAUUAGAGUUACAUGGCAGUAACAAGGGAGGAGUGAAUAAAGCGGUGGCCCAUCUUCAUGAACUAAUUGCAGAUCCUGCCCUGCCAGAAGGAGCAGUGCUCCAUGAAGUGAAGCGGGCAUUAAAAAAUAAAAAAGAUUAUAGGUAUCGUAAGUCAUUAAAAAAUGCUAUAUGUAUUCACAUCAGUAUAAAUUAAAGUGAAUGAAACU
Long non-coding RNA from Priapulus caudatus, 312 nucleotides. RefSeq lists it as uncharacterized. The record is from RefSeq and is a predicted model, not a curated record. Lineage: Eukaryota; Metazoa; Priapulida; Priapulimorpha; Priapulimorphida; Priapulidae. The transcript is spliced from 3 exons.